UACGUAGGGUGCAAGCGUUGUCCGGAAUUAUUGGGCGUAAAGAGCUCGUAGGCGGUUCGUCGCGUCGGCUGUGAAAUCCCGAGGCUCAACCCCGGACUUGCAGUGGGUACGGGCAGACUAGAGUGUGGUAGGGGAGACUGGAAUUCCUGGUGUAGCGGUGAAAUGCGCAGAUAUCAGGAGGAACACCGAUGGCGAAGGCAGGUCUCUGGGCCACUACUGACGCUGAGAAGCGAAAGCAUGGGGAGCGAACAGG
RNAcentral lists this ribosomal RNA (253 nucleotides) under uncultured bacterium. RNAcentral describes it as "partial 16S ribosomal RNA". It matches the Rfam family "Bacterial small subunit ribosomal RNA", at positions 524 to 776 of the family's 1533-position model. The record is from RNAcentral.